Molecule: ribosomal RNA, 207 nt
Filed under: uncultured bacterium
Lineage: Bacteria
Description: partial 16S ribosomal RNA
Rfam family: Bacterial small subunit ribosomal RNA
Source: RNAcentral
CGCGUAGGCGGACUGUCAAGUCAGUCGUGAAAUACCGGGGCUUAACCCCGGGGCUGCGAUUGAAGCUGACAGCCUUGAGUAUCGGAGAGGAAAGCGGAAUUCCUAGUGUAGCGGUGAAAUGCGUAGAUAUUAGGAGGAACACCAGUGGCGAAGGCGGCUUUCUGGACGACAACUGACGCUGAGGCGCGAAAGUGUGGGGAGCAAACA